GUUUCAGCCGCCGCGGUAAUACGUAGGGGGCAAGCGUUGUCCGGAAUCAUUGGGCGUAAAGCGCGUGUAGGCGGCUCGGCAAGUCCGAUGUGAAAGCCUGGGGCUCAACCCCGGGACUGCAUUGGAAACUGCCCUGCUAGAGUUCGGAAGAGGGGACUGGAAUUCCUGGUGUAGCGGUGAAAUGCGCAGAUAUCAGGAAGAACACCGGUGGCGAAGGCGGGUCCCUGGGACGAUACUGACGCUGAGACGCGAAAGCGUGGGGAGCAAACAGGAUUAGAAACCCCCGUAGUCC
This 292-nucleotide ribosomal RNA is filed under the name uncultured bacterium. RNAcentral describes it as "partial 16S ribosomal RNA". It matches the Rfam family "Bacterial small subunit ribosomal RNA", at positions 505 to 796 of the family's 1533-position model. The record is from RNAcentral.